CUGAGCGGCGGACGGGUGAGUAACGCGUGGGUAACCUGCCUCAUACAGGGGGAUAACAGUUAGAAAUGACUGCUAAUACCGCAUAAGACCACGGUACCGCAUGGUACAGUGGUAAAAACUCCGGUGGUAUGUGAUGGACCCGCGUCUGAUUAGGUAGUUGGUGGGGUAACGGCCUACCAAGCCGACGAUCAGUAGCCGACCUGAGAGGGUGACCGGCCACAUUGGGACUGAGACACGGCCCAG
This 243-nucleotide ribosomal RNA is filed under the name uncultured bacterium. RNAcentral describes it as "partial 16S ribosomal RNA". It matches the Rfam family "Bacterial small subunit ribosomal RNA", at positions 91 to 334 of the family's 1533-position model. The record is from RNAcentral.